CCACUCCCGACCCGCCAGCCCCUCGCCAGCCCAGCCCUCGGGCUCCCCCCCCACGCUCUGCUAGUGCCCCUCACUCCUAAUCCACAACUUCUUUUUAUUUUGGAUUAAAGCAUCUGAAUAAAUUUGAUUUCACCCUUUUCAGAGGGAUCUCUGGAGGAGCGGCAUCGAUCCAUUCCUGGUAGCUAGAAAGUUCCAUGAAUUUGUCGAGAAUGCUCUGGCCGAGGAGAGAAGAAACCCUGUUACCGGCAUUAGCAACGUUAGACUGAGCGACUUUGCAAAAUGCUCUGCCGUGCAGCUCAGCCUGGAGGUGGACGGCCAAGCUGUGUCUAUAGACCUGGUGCCCACCAUCCGGAAUAAAGUGGACAUGUCCAUGGAUUGGCCACGGCAGGAUCUCCGGUGGCUCUCCGACUGGUGGGACCGGGAGCAAGACACGGAGCGGAUCAACCCCACCUGGAAUAUCAUGGACAUUUACAAAACUGGGACCGAUCUGAUGGCCAAGAAUCUGUAUUGGAGGCUCACUUUCUCCCGGGCUGAGACCCGACUCCUCAGGGACAUUGACCUCGAUGGUGCUGGGUGGAGGCGGGAGGCCCUGCAGCUGCUGAAGCAAAUCAACAUGGAGAAGUGGGGGCCGCGGUACGGCAAAGACCUGACCUCCUGCCACCUGAAGAUGGUCCUGUUUUGGGCUUCUGACCUCAACCCAGAGACAGAGCACUGGGCCACGUUGCCGGCUGCUGUGGGGACCCUGCUGAAGGUGCUGGAGUUCUGCCUGGAGAAGAGACACCUGCCCAGUUACUUCCUGCCGUCCAUUAAUUUCUUCGACUGGCACCGGACUGAGGAGGAGAAUUCCCUGAGGAACCUGGGGCUGGAGGCGCUCAGACUGGAGGUGAGGCUGAUGAGAUGCAGCCCAGAACGGUACCUGCAGCUGUGCUACGACCUGGCCAAGCCCCCAGGCCCGGGACCCUUCGUCCAACGGGCGCGGGAGCUCGACGCCUUUAGAAGGGAGCAUCGGAACGACUUGGAAGAGUUCAAACACCUGAAGGAAGGAAAACAGCCGGGACAGGGAGCUGCGAGUGUCUUCUUUGCCCAACACAGACACCUGGGCUCGUGUCUGCAGUUAAAUAUGCUACGCCAGGAUUUCUUAAACUGGGGGUCGGGACCCCUCCAGGGGCCGUGAGGUUAUUACAUGGGGGGUCGCGAGCUGUCAGCCUCCACCCCAAACCCCGCUUUGCCUCCGGCAUUUCUAAUGGUGUGAAUGUGUUUUUAAUGUAUAAGGGGGGGUCACACUCAGAGGCUUGCUGUGUGAUAGGGGUCACCAGGACAAAAGUCUGAGAGCCCCUGGUCUACGCUAACUUCACUUGGCUUUGGAUUUAUCCCGGGGGAACAGAGUCUGCUUAAAAACCAUGAGCCUUGAUUUAAAACACAAUGUUUUUAAACAAUAAUAAAGGCUGGGUUCUGUUCA
This 1459-nucleotide long non-coding RNA is filed under the name Chrysemys picta bellii (western painted turtle). RNAcentral's name for it is "lncRNA (ENSCPBG00000009049.1)". The record is from RNAcentral. Lineage: Eukaryota; Metazoa; Chordata; Testudines; Emydidae.